RNAcentral lists this long non-coding RNA (2495 nucleotides) under Phoenix dactylifera (date palm). RNAcentral's name for it is "long non-coding RNA (PDAC_LNC007479)". The record is from RNAcentral. Lineage: Eukaryota; Viridiplantae; Streptophyta; Magnoliopsida; Arecales; Arecaceae.
AGAGUUUGAAAUUUGAAAUGCUUAAAAAUUUUAAAAGUAUACAAAUAAUUAAAUUUGAAUAAUAGAUGAUAAAUAUAAUAUUGUAUGUGAAAAAAAAGAGAAACUAAUUAAAUGUAGAUGAUAGUAGUAUCUACAUUAUAUCAUAAAGCUUAUAAUGCAUUUCUUGAGAAGAAGCCUUUCGAUGCACAUGUUUAAAUUGCUGACGGGACUAGGGAAGGAAGAGCAAAAAAGUUUCUUAAUAUUUUUAUUUAUUAUUUGUCUUUACAUAUAAUUGUUUUGAUAACUGUUUAAAGUGUAAUUCCUAGGAAAAUUUAAGAGUCCAGAGCGGCAAUGUCACUUCUUUUGCAGCUCUCCCAUUUCAAGCAUGUGGGAAAACAAUAUUCUCGAAGAGGUUUAGAAAGUUCAAGAUAUCUUAAAUAUUAAUAGAGAUAUUUUGCAUUGGAAAGGUAUUUUGGGAUAAGGGCAUUGAGGAGGUUUCAUGGGGAUGUUUUGAGAUAAAUUUUGAAACAUUAUAAGUGGGAAAACAAUAUUCACGAAGAGGUUUAGAAAGUUCAAGAUAUCUUAAAUAUUAAUAGAGAUAUUUUGCAUUGGAAAGGUAUUUUGGGAUAAGGGCAUUGAGGAGGUUUCAAGGGGAUGUUUUGAGAUAAAUUUUGAAACAUUAUAAGAGUAUUCUAGGAUAGGGGCAUUCUAAGAAUAGGAAAAGUUUUCACAUUGUUAUUGGCAACACUUAUAUAGAAAUUCUGCAUGAGGUUUUGACAAAGGUAUUAUGAGAUAGGGGUAAUGAGAAGGAUUUUAAUAGAUGAAACAUUAUAAGAGUAUUCUAGUAUAUGGGCAUUUUGAGAAAACAAAAUGUUUGCACAUCAUUAUUGGCACACUUGUUUUUAGGAUAUUUGCAGAUGAAGACCUCUCUUAUCCUAAAAAUAUCCCCCAAAUUUCUUAAUAAUGGAAUAUAUCAGGUUUUUCCCAUUCUGCCCCUCAAUCGGCUCUUUAGAGGUUCUAAAUGGUAAGAUUCUUGUCGUUAUCGUUAAUUUUUCUGACCAACAUCAUUACUAGAAUUUAGAUCUUAAUUCUAUCUCAAAUUUGAAGAUAAUAGUGUUGAGGAGCAAUGCAGCUCACAAGUUAGAAGCUCCAAAGGGUUGAUUGACGAGUGGAAGGGAAAGAAACAUGAUAAAUAUUUCAAUUUCACUAAUGGAAAGUUAACCGGGGUCCUAUUGGACAAUUUCUAGAAUAAGGAGGUCUUUUAUUUGCAAAUAUGUAAAAUAUGUGUCUAUUUGUAUGCAAUUAAUCAAACAUAGAGAGGGCUUAUAUGCAAAUUCUCAAAACAAGGUUAAUUGCUGACAUAUUUGUAUAUGACCAACGGGCAUAUUCACCUUUUAUUUAAUUUUGUUCUAAAUUGAUAAACCGAAUGUGGAUAAAUUAAGGAUAUUUCUAUAAAAUUGUGGAAUCAAUGCUUCAUUAAAAAAGAGGAAGAUUGAAGCUCCACGCCAUUCUAUGAUCAACAACUAUCUUGAAUCAAUUAUUUUCACUCUUAUGAAAUAUUAUUAUAACAAACUAUUUUGUGGCCAUGAUGAAGCUACCCCUUGUUUGUUCAUCCAAUCCCACACCUGUCAUGUGCUCAUAUAUCCCUACUUGAAUCUACGACCGCUCUUUUUUCAUAUUUGUCUCUGCUGACCAUUUCUCUUUGCUUAUUUCGGUUUAACAAGAAUAGUAGAGAGAUAAGGCCCACAAUGAUAAUUGUUGAUUCACUCAGCAGGUGCAAUGAAUAAUCAUCUCCCACAUGUAAUCAUACACUGAAUCCAUAUAAAUAUCAACACAAGUACUCAAUAAAGUACAUCGACAAUAAUUCAUAGGUGACAAGUGUAAGAACAGGAAUGAUGUAAGGACCCCUAAAUCCACCACUCCCUAUGAACUUCUAAAACAUGACAAUCAAACAUAUUAUGUAACCCACACAAAUAUUUUAUUUACUAUGCUAAUGCAUUCUUGGGCUGAAGGGCAACAAAUAGGUGUACGUAAUUUAGUUCGGAUCCUCUCCAGUUCGAGGUUAAACUGGGGAGGUCUAGUUUUAAAUCACUGCAAAUACAUGUAUUGUGGAUGGUGGGGCCCAUGUAAUCACCGACCAUUCCAUAACAUACAGAGAACCGGCGAUUUUGGAACUGCACCUCUUCACCAUCUAGUAUUCCAUGACUCCUAAAAGCUGACGCUUAGGGAGAUACAAGCUGCAUAACUGGCACGAGCUAGCUACAUAUGAAGCCUAAAGAUAAAUGAUGUGCUGCGAAGAAACAACAAGAAGAAUAAGACAUCUAUUUAUCUAAAAUUUGGUAUGCAAUGCAUACUUUAGAGUUUACAUACAACUGCUAAAUGAUACCUGCAAUCGGGUUGAACGAGAAAGGUUUCUCCCAACAAAAAUAGCUAAAACUUAAAUGCAUGAAGAUAUUACGCUUUAAAGGUACUCCUAAAAAAAAAAUCUUGAUGGCAAAUGAAACAACCUAUUAAAC